Non-coding RNA from Ornithorhynchus anatinus (platypus), 72 nucleotides. NCBI's taxonomy places the organism in Eukaryota, Metazoa, Chordata, Mammalia, Monotremata, Ornithorhynchidae. The record is from Rfam.
AACAGCGUGGCUCAGUGGAAAGAGCCCGGCCUUGCGAGUCAGAGGUCACGGGUUCGAAUCCCGGCUCUGCCA